This 349-nucleotide unclassified non-coding RNA is filed under the name Hevea brasiliensis (rubber tree). Lineage: Eukaryota; Viridiplantae; Streptophyta; Magnoliopsida; Malpighiales; Euphorbiaceae. The record is from RNAcentral.
AAGCGCUCUCCUUCUUCCUGGCUCAUCUUUAUACCUUGCACGAUCAUAACCAGGGUUACCUUCAUGCAUACCUGACCUCCUCAAAUGCAAAUCAGAAGCAUGACCCUCAUCCCUGGAACGCUUCGCAUCAGUCCGGUCACCUGAAUGGUCUCUCGGAGCACGUUCAUCCCCAUACUUGGCAUCAUUGAGUCUCCUCUUUUUAUCACUUUCAUCUGCUUCACUAACAUCCUUGCAUCUGCCAUGUCUUUCAAAAUCGUCCCGAUGCUUCUCAUCCUUGCGCCUUUUAUCUCUUUCACUGUCUUCUCUAUACUUGAUGUCUCUCUGCCUAUCAUCUCUUUCACCCUCUUCA